UGCCAUACACUUUUACUUUGCUAGGAAAAUGCUGCAUAAAUAUCAUUCCUUACGGUGUGUGUUGCCAACAUUUUUGUUAGUGUCAAUCUUGAAUAUAGUAGGGAUUCCUCAUCCCUGAUGUUUCGUAAAAAAAGUGAUACGACUUUCUCAUUGACUUUUAAAACAGUUUAGUCUUAAUGUUCUUCGUGAUGUUAAAAGAACUUUUAGACCUGGUCCAUGUUAUGACUCCCCUGAGAGCUGGAUUUUCUGCACUCCUCAGUACAAACAGAAGGCAAGAUUUGACCGUGAUUAUGUUUAUUUGAGCAGUGGAGAUGGUCAGCCCAGAUAAAUCAGCCUCCGUUGUAGCUUUCUAACCAAGCUCAGAAGAUGUGUUUUACUAGAGCAGGACAUUGAAAGUUAAUCUGAGAGUAGAGCCCGGAACCCAGAAACAUUUGACUAAAACACAGUGAAGAUAGUGCCUAAACCACAUAGAUAUCUGCCUGCAUCUUUUCUGAGGUCCUGAUACUCAGAAAGGUCUGUGGUGGUGGAUACAGGGAGUGCAAUGUCCUCUUUGAGUCCCCUAAAGGAUUUAACAUCUCCAACCCUAAGGAUAGGCCAGUGUCUGCAGAAAGCAGGAUGUAGGAUCCCAUGAAACAGUCUCCGCAUCUAGAGAAAAACAGUUUUCUUCCACGUCAUUGAGUUCCUAUUAUUACCUCCUUUAUAAGACAGCUCUUCUCCCAGGGUAUGGCCAAGAAAGGCAUCGUGCCAAGGAGUCAGAAGGCUGGGGAUGGUACUCUGUAUAGGGUGUCAGCCAUAAUCUGGCUCCUAAAUAUGGGAAAGCCGCUUAACUCUUGGUGUGGUGCUGGCUUUUCUUUAUAAAAUGGGAUGAAGGGGAGACGGAGAGGUUCCUUUUCACUACAAAAGUCUCUUUCUCUUCCUCUCUCUCUUUCUUUUCUUUUUCUUUCAGCACUGCCAAGAGAAGGCUUUUUCUUUUGCUCAGGUUAAAUAAGAACAUCCUGCAAGGAGUCUGUUCUCUUAUACAGCCUGAAGAUCAAGUAAUAAUCAUUGACAUCGAUACUAAGCAUGUCGAUUUUGAAGAGACUGGCAUGUUUGCUGGCAGCUGUGUCUCAGAAAAAGCUGUCUUCAGCAAGGCAG
This is a long non-coding RNA of Macaca mulatta (Rhesus monkey), 1134 nucleotides long. The record is from Ensembl. Lineage: Eukaryota; Metazoa; Chordata; Mammalia; Primates; Cercopithecidae.